CGACAUAGAUGGCCUUUUGUUAGUAAAGAACGUGAUACCUACCAAAUUGAGAAGAUAGAUGCGGAUAGCCUAGUCCCGAUUCAACCACAUCUCAUCAACAUACUCCUCUGCUGUAAUUGCUUCCUUAAGACCUAGCUUAAUAUCCUUUCUUAACUAGUUGAAACGUGCAUGGGCAUUGUUUGUAGAUUUCACUUGGUAUUUAGCCUCACCCACAUAAAACCCUCACAACUCGACCAUCAAAUCAACCACCUCAUCCAUGGAAAGAGGAACAUCAUGGUUUUAG
Molecule: long non-coding RNA, 283 nt
Filed under: Medicago truncatula (barrel medic)
Lineage: Eukaryota; Viridiplantae; Streptophyta; Magnoliopsida; Fabales; Fabaceae
Description: long non-coding RNA (MTRU_LNC001589)
Source: RNAcentral